GGGGAAUAUUGCACAAUGGAGGAAACUCUGAUGCAGCGACGCCGCGUGAGUGAAGAAGGUCUUCGGAUCGUAAAACUCUGUCCUUGGUGACGAAAAAAAUGACGGUAGCCAAGGAGGAAGCCCCGGCUAACUACGUGCCAGCAGCCGCGGUAAUACGUAGGGGGCGAGCGUUGUCCGGAUUUACUGGGCGUAAAGGGUGAGUAGGCGGUAAUAUGUGUCAGAUGUAAAAGGCUAUGGCUUAACCAUAGUUAGCAUUUGAAACUGUAUUACUUGAGUGCAGGAGAGGUAAGUGGAAUUCCUAGUGUAGCGGUGAAAUGCGUAGAUAUUAGGAGGAACACCAGUGGCGAAGGCGACUUACUGGACUGUAACUGACGCUGAGUCACGAAAGCGUGGGUAGCAAACA
RNAcentral lists this ribosomal RNA (403 nucleotides) under uncultured bacterium. RNAcentral's name for it is "bacterial SSU rRNA". It matches the Rfam family "Bacterial small subunit ribosomal RNA", at positions 356 to 774 of the family's 1533-position model. The record is from RNAcentral.